RNAcentral lists this ribosomal RNA (503 nucleotides) under uncultured Alphaproteobacteria bacterium. RNAcentral describes it as "bacterial SSU rRNA". It matches the Rfam family "Bacterial small subunit ribosomal RNA", at positions 89 to 627 of the family's 1533-position model. Lineage: Bacteria; Pseudomonadati; Pseudomonadota; Alphaproteobacteria. The record is from RNAcentral.
UACUGAGUGGCAGACGGGUGAGUAUAAUGUGGGAAUCUGCCUUUUGGUUUGGAAUAACACGGGGAAACUUGUGCUAAUACCGAAUAAGCCCUUACGGGGAAAGUUUUAACGCCGAAAGAUGAGCCUGCACUUGAUUAGCUAGUUGGUAAGGUAAAGGCUUACCAAGGCAACGAUCAAUAGCUGUUCUUAGAGGAAGACCAGCCACAUUGGGACUGAGACACGGCCCAGACUCCUACGGGAGGCAGCAGUGGGGAAUCUUGCACAAUGGGGGAAAACCUGAUGCAGCGAUGCCGCGUGAGUGAAGAAGGCCUUUGGGUUGUAAAACUCUUUCGUCGGGGAAGAAAAUGACUGUACCCGAAUAAGAAGGUCCGGCUAACUUCGUGCCAGCAGCCGCGGUAAUACGAAGGGACCUAGCGUAGUUCGGAAUUACUGGGCUUAAAGAGCUCGUAGGUGGUUAAGAAAGUUGAUGGUGAAAUCCCAAGGCUCAACCUUGGAACUGCCAU